This 2204-nucleotide ribosomal RNA is filed under the name Escherichia coli. RNAcentral describes it as "partial 23S ribosomal RNA". It matches the Rfam family "Bacterial large subunit ribosomal RNA", at positions 23 to 2252 of the family's 2925-position model. Lineage: Bacteria; Pseudomonadati; Pseudomonadota; Gammaproteobacteria; Enterobacterales; Enterobacteriaceae. The record is from RNAcentral.
GGUGGAUGCCCUGGCAGUCAGAGGCGAUGAAGGACGUGCUAAUCUGCGAUAAGCGUCGGUAAGGUGAUAUGAACCGUUAUAACCGGCGAUUUCCGAAUGGGGAAACCCAGUGUGUUUCGACACACUAUCAUUAACUGAAUCCAUAGGUUAAUGAGGCGAACCGGGGGAACUGAAACAUCUAAGUACCCCGAGGAAAAGAAAUCAACCGAGAUUCCCCCAGUAGCGGCGAGCGAACGGGGAGCAGCCCAGAGCCUGAAUCAGUGUGUGUGUUAGUGGAAGCGUCUGGAAAGGCGCGCGAUACAGGGUGACAGCCCCGUACACAAAAAUGCACAUACUGUGAGCUCGAUGAGUAGGGCGGGACACGUGGUAUCCUGUCUGAAUAUGGGGGGACCAUCCUCCAAGGCUAAAUACUCCUGACUGACCGAUAGUGAACCAGUACCGUGAGGGAAAGGCGAAAAGAACCCCGGCGAGGGGAGUGAAAAAGAACCUGAAACCGUGUACGUACAAGCAGUGGGAGCCUCUUAAUGGGGUGACUGCGUACCUUUUGUAUAAUGGGUCAGCGACUUAUAUUCUGUAGCAAGGUUAACCGAAUAGGGGAGCCGAAGGGAAACCGAGUCUUAACUGGGCGUUAAGUUGCAGGGUAUAGACCCGAAACCCGGUGAUCUAGCCAUGGGCAGGUUGAAGGUUGGGUAACACUAACUGGAGGACCGAACCGACUAAUGUUGAAAAAUUAGCGGAUGACUUGUGGCUGGGGGUGAAAGGCCAAUCAAACCGGGAGAUAGCUGGUUCUCCCCGAAAGCUAUUUAGGUAGCGCCUCGUGAAUUCAUCUCCGGGGGUAGAGCACUGUUUCGGCAAGGGGGUCAUCCCGACUUACCAACCCGAUGCAAACUGCGAAUACCGGAGAAUGUUAUCACGGGAGACACACGGCGGGUGCUAACGUCCGUCGUGAAGAGGGAAACAACCCAGACCGCCAGCUAAGGUCCCAAAGUCAUGGUUAAGUGGGAAACGAUGUGGGAAGGCCCAGACAGCCAGGAUGUUGGCUUAGAAGCAGCCAUCAUUUAAAGAAAGCGUAAUAGCUCACUGGUCGAGUCGGCCUGCGCGGAAGAUGUAACGGGGCUAAACCAUGCACCGAAGCUGCGGCAGCGACACUAUGUGUUGUUGGGUAGGGGAGCGUUCUGUAAGCCUGUGAAGGUGUACUGUGAGGUAUGCUGGAGGUAUCAGAAGUGCGAAUGCUGACAUAAGUAACGAUAAAGCGGGUGAAAAGCCCGCUCGCCGGAAGACCAAGGGUUCCUGUCCAACGUUAAUCGGGGCAGGGUGAGUCGACCCCUAAGGCGAGGCCGAAAGGCGUAGUCGAUGGGAAACAGGUUAAUAUUCCUGUACUUGGUGUUACUGCGAAGGGGGGACGGAGAAGGCUAUGUUGGCCGGGCGACGGUUGUCCCGGUUUAAGCGUGUAGGCUGGUUUUCCAGGCAAAUCCGGAAAAUCAAGGCUGAGGCGUGAUGACGAGGCACUACGGUGCUGAAGCAACAAAUGCCCUGCUUCCAGGAAAAGCCUCUAAGCAUCAGGUAACAUCAAAUCGUACCCCAAACCGACACAGGUGGUCAGGUAGAGAAUACCAAGGCGCUUGAGAGAACUCGGGUGAAGGAACUAGGCAAAAUGGUGCCGUAACUUCGGGAGAAGGCACGCUGAUAUGUAGGUGAAGUCCCUCGCGGAUGGAGCUGAAAUCAGUCGAAGAUACCAGCUGGCUGCAACUGUUUAUUAAAAACACAGCACUGUGCAAACACGAAAGUGGACGUAUACGGUGUGACGCCUGCCCGGUGCCGGAAGGUUAAUUGAUGGGGUUAGCGGUAACGCGAAGCUCUUGAUCGAAGCCCCGGUAAACGGCGGCCGUAACUAUAACGGUCCUAAGGUAGCGAAAUUCCUUGUCGGGUAAGUUCCGACCUGCACGAAUGGCGUAAUGAUGGCCAGGCUGUCUCCACCCGAGACUCAGUGAAAUUGAACUCGCUGUGAAGAUGCAGUGUACCCGCGGCAAGACGGAAAGACCCCGUGAACCUUUACUAUAGCUUGACACUGAACAUUGAGCCUUGAUGUGUAGGAUAGGUGGGAGGCUUUGAAGUGUGGACGCCAGUCUGCAUGGAGCCGACCUUGAAAUACCACCCUUUAAUGUUUGAUGUUCUAACGUUGGCCCCUUACCGGGGUUGCGGAC